This 69-nucleotide transfer RNA is filed under the name Dryocopus pileatus. Its description in RNAcentral is "tRNA-Gly". It matches the Rfam family "tRNA". From Rfam's summary of the family: Transfer RNA (tRNA) molecules are approximately 80 nucleotides in length. Their secondary structure includes four short double-helical elements and three loops (D, anti-codon, and T loops). Further hydrogen bonds mediate the characteristic L-shaped molecular structure. tRNAs have two regions of fundamental functional importance: the anti-codon, which is responsible for specific mRNA codon recognition, and the 3' end, to which the tRNAs corresponding amino acid is attached (by aminoacyl-tRNA synthetases). tRNAs cope with the degeneracy of the genetic code in two manners: having more than one tRNA (with a specific anti-codon) for a particular amino acid; and 'wobble' base-pairing, i.e. permitting non-standard base-pairing at the 3rd anti-codon position. The record is from RNAcentral. Lineage: Eukaryota; Metazoa; Chordata; Aves; Piciformes; Picidae.
GCCCUUCUAGUAUACUUAUUACAAUUGACUUCCAAUCUCUAAAAUCUGGUCCAAAUCCAGAGAAGGGCA